ACACGAUCCGUGGUGAAGAUUUCUGUUACUUCGCCUGCAGCGCGAGAGGUCGCGGGUUCGAAUCCCGCCCGGUGUCCCA
RNAcentral lists this transfer RNA (79 nucleotides) under Bradyrhizobium sp. RNAcentral's name for it is "tRNA-Cys". Lineage: Bacteria; Pseudomonadati; Pseudomonadota; Alphaproteobacteria; Hyphomicrobiales; Nitrobacteraceae. The record is from RNAcentral.